Molecule: ribosomal RNA, 242 nt
Filed under: uncultured bacterium
Lineage: Bacteria
Description: partial 16S ribosomal RNA
Rfam family: Bacterial small subunit ribosomal RNA
Source: RNAcentral
UAAGCGUUGUUCGGAAUUACUGGGCGUAAAGGGCUCGUAGGCGGCCAACUAAGUCAGACGUUAAAUCCCUCAGCUUAACUGGGGAACUGCGUCUGAUACUGGAUGGCUUGGAUUCGGGAGAGGAAUGCGGAAUUCCAGGUGUAGCGGUGAAAUGCGUAGAUAUCUGGAGGAACACCCGAGGCGAAGGCGGCUCACUGGGACGGUACUGACGCUGAGACGCGAAAGCUAGGGGAGCAAACAGG